Molecule: non-coding RNA, 3521 nt
Organism: Electrophorus electricus (electric eel)
Lineage: Eukaryota; Metazoa; Chordata; Actinopteri; Gymnotiformes; Gymnotidae
Source: RefSeq, a predicted model, not a curated record
AAAUUCCUCCACAUGUAUACAUGCCGAAGAGAGUUCGGGACAGUAAACCGCCUUCACAGGGGAGUCUUUGACGAACCUGGUGUGAUGACGAACCUGCUGACAUUUCUGGAGCACAUUAAGAGAAGAGAGGGAAGGACCGUGGUGCUCCGUAUUCUUGGACACUUGGCGAGGUGCGUGAGGAACCGGGACUACAUACAGCAGCAGCUGGACCUGCUGGAGCAGUUCUGUCAGAACUGGGCCCUGAGAGUCAACUGGACAAAAUCAAAGUGCUGUUAGUGUGAUGUAUUCCCAAAGGAAGCUGCUCACCAUGGUGAUGCUAUCAGUGGUUUCCUCCAUCCCAUCGGUCCGAAUUUCUCCAGAUAACAUGAGUGGUCGACAAACAUGCGAAGAAACGGACAGAAAAGGACAGUGGAGGAGGAGAGGGAGACUCUAAGAGACCUCGUUGUACAAAGUAUCCUUUUAUUUUUAUGUGUUAACAGAACAGAUUCAUCUAUGGUCGUGAAGUUUACCAAUGAUUAUGAAAUGAUGGCGCGAGGCCAAAGCUGAUUGGUCAGAUGUUGAAAGGGGAGAGCGAGCUCAUGAGUUUUUCAGGUGAUGGUGAGCAACUUAUUUGGAUACCAUUUCUAGCUUUCAUUGAGAAUGCAGGUUUGUGACAGUGCUUUAUAAAACUCUGUUUGGAUUAAAUAUGCAUUCUAAUAUAUUGUAUUACGCAAUAAAAAUAUAAAGCAAAAUCAGUGAAGGAGGUUGACAAACGUGUUUAAUAGAAGUAGGAAGAAUUUCAAAGCCUGAAGGAAAAACUGAUGUAAUUGUAGCUUUAUAUAAUAGUCAGCCCUGUGAAUAUUGGCUAAAACCAAAUCUCUCUCUCUUGCUCUCUCUUACUCUUUCCCCCUCUCUUCUCUUUCUGUUUGCUGUGACUGACAAAGCUCUCAAAGGUUAGUGACCAAAGGAUACUUACCAUGAUCAAUAAGCUCAUCAGUGAAUCAACCACACACACACAGACACACACACACUCGUACGCACACACACUGGGUGUGUUUUUCCAAUAGCUGCCCCAAUCCCCACCUUCUGUAAAUAAGUAGUUUAUUAGUGGUGAGCAGUUGGCCCAUUGACAGCUGGUUGCAGAGCUUAGCGCAUGUGUGUGUGUGGUUGGAGUAAAUGAAGUGUGUAAACGAGCUUUUUAUGGUUCCGAAAGGGGUGAUGUUUUACACCCUAUUUAACUGUUCAUUGCUGCUGCCCACAUCACAAAGAAAAACACUUAAUCUUUACCAAAAUACGUCGUCCCAUAAAAACAAAAAGAAAGAAGCAACGUUAUGACAGUCCCUACCUAACAUAGGAACACUAUGCCGUAUAAGUCAAGAUGCUAGUUCUCCAGCCUUUCAUUUUGACAUGUUUGUACAUACACAUAUUACCAAAAGAUAUCUAACAAUACCUAUAUAACUAGAACCACAACAGACUCAGAGCCCAGGUCUUGAAUUUGCAUUAUAUGUUUCAUUAUUUUCUGCAUUUCAGUCAGCAUCAGCAUUAUUAAACUUCAAGUUAAAAGCCAAUAUUAGAGGCCUUUUCUUUCCUGGUAAGGACAGACUCCAUCUUUUCUGCCAGGCUAGCUGUCCUUUUACGUGACCAAGGACAUUCUCCCAGAGCUUCAGUUACAUUCCUCUUGGUCCAGUACAGUUCAGUUCUGAAGGAUUUCGUGCGUGUGAAGCGCUCAGAAGCGAACCGGCAUCAUCUGGCUGUUGAGCUCGAUAAGCCAGUCAUAGACCUAUCGACCGGUUUAUGUGAUAAAACAGUAACGUCACAGACAUGCUGAGAGUGCAUUUUUAGCACUUGUUUAUAAUAACCCAAGGACCAUAGGCUUGUGGAGCCACAAGCUGAGCAGCCGCAUGUUGUUAUGGUUUACAAGUGCUGACAUCUGGAUUGCCACCUGUAAAAGCUGAUCCCCACAAGUGAACAAAAUGCUCUAGUUUCAGCAAGACUUGCUCAGUGCAUGGGAAAACCGAGAACAUGGUAACGCUGUGGGGGUCCAUGAAUAGUUUAUGGAGUCCAUGUCCCUCAUAGCCAUCCUGAGCCAAAUCUGUCCUCACAUCCGGAUCACUCCGGCUUAUCUCCCGUGAGUGAUUCUGUGUGUGAUUGCAUUGAGAGGUGUGGGGAAAGAGCUGCUAUUGAAAGGAGCCGGACAGCGUGGCUUUAAGCAAGGAGCAGUGUUGGACUUGGGUUAAAUGAUUGUCAGGUUUAACCCAUGGAUACACAGUCAAAUUGAGGAAUAGGUACUGCUUAUGCAGAGGUUCAGAAUCAUGGAAAUAUGCUGCACGAGCUGUUUUCACUCAGCCGCCCACACACGCCCGUGCACACACACACACAGACACACACACACACACACACAAGCAGGUAUUGGUAUUGUACAAAUAACACUGGCUCACCAAAUACAUUGUCAGCCUGCCUGACUGAUUUGCUGGUAUAUACUAUUCCACCUCUCCUCAUUUUACAUUCUUUAUGUGUGUAUGUGUAUACCAUAAAGAUUAUGAGCAUGUGUUAUUCUAGGCUAGGUCAAGCAAAUAACACUCUGUAGACUCACCUCUUCUGUGUGUGUGUGUGUGUGUGUGUGUGUGUGUGUGUGUGUGUGUAUGCUGUCGCUUGUGGCAUACCUGUCUGCCACUGGGUCACCCGCCAAUGACCCCUGUUCUACCCAGCCCCGCCCUGCUGAGCCAACCAUGCUUCCAGGGUCUGUCCCUCCAGCCAGCAGCGUGUGCUGCAGACACAGGCCCCGCUCGAUAGCCUUACAGUUUGCUGGACUGUUCAAAUUCCUUUAGUCUGGUACUCAUUUCCCGGGUACUAAAGACUAAUUGCAAUCAUUGUCUCCUCUGGCAAUGAGCAACGCAGCAUCCUCGUAAACCCUGCACUAUGAACCUAACAAUCAGCCUGUCUGAGCAUCGUUCAUCACAGUCGUGAGUGUUGCCUUGUGUGACUACAGACUGGUAUCACAGCUGUGGCAAGCUUGUUCAGUUCUGCCUCAAAGCUCCGGUAUGCUGGCUAACUACUGACUCUCUUAUUCACAGGCUGAGUGAUAAAGGUGUUUGGCUGUAUAGCAACCAAUUUUACCAUGUGAUUGGUUGUUUGACUUGGAGGAGGUUGGGCCCUGUGUCUGACCUGCUGACAGGGUCAUGGAGAGCAAGGGCUUUCCCACUCUCAGUUUUCCUUGUUGUGCGAGCUCUGGGUGUUCCUCUUGCAGUCAACCUCAGCAGUUGUUCUUUGCACAUUAUCCCCAGGGUGGUGAAGUCAUUGUAUCCAUGCACAAAUUCGCACAUGUUGACAAAUACACACACAUUGAUAAAUACACAUGUGUUAUGUUACGUUUAGUUACAUAUACAAAUACACACACGUUGAUGUGUAUUGGGUUUCAUAAUGCAAAUCAUCUUUACCUUCUGACAGCUGACAUUGGUGUUCUACCGGAAAACAAAAAGUUUCUUUAAAUGUUAAGUGUGUCUGUGUGUGUGCGCAUGCAUGUUUAAGUGUGUGUGUCAGUG